AACGAACGCUGGCGGCAUGCCUAACACAUGCAAGUCGAACGAGAUCUUCGGGUCUAGUGGCGCACGGGUGCGUAACGCGUGGGAAUCCGCCCUUUGGUUCGGAAUAACAGUUGGAAACGACUGCUAAUACCGGAUGAUGACGAAAGUCCAAAGAUUUAUCGCCAGAGGAUGAGCCCGCGUAGGAUUAGCUAGUUGGUGUGGUAAAGGCGCACCAAGGCGACGAUCCUUAGCUGGCCUGAGAGGAUGAUCAGCCACACUGGGACUGAGACACGGCCCAGACUCCUACGGGAGGCAGCAGCGGGGAAUAUUGGACAAUGGGCGAAAGCCUGAUCCAGCAAUGCCGCGUGAGUGAUGAAGGCCUUAGGGUUGUAAAGCUCUUUUACCCGGGAUGAUAAUGACAGUACCGGGAGAAUAAGCUCCGGCUAACUCCGUGCCAGCCGCCGCAGUAA
This 449-nucleotide ribosomal RNA is filed under the name uncultured bacterium. RNAcentral describes it as "partial 16S ribosomal RNA". It matches the Rfam family "Bacterial small subunit ribosomal RNA", at positions 29 to 523 of the family's 1533-position model. The record is from RNAcentral.